GUCGGGUUCGGGAUGAAGUGGUUGACCCGGUCGCCGAUGACGGCCCACGUGCGCUUGCCGUCGCGCAGCAUCUGCACGCCGCGGCGCUUGAACCUCUU
This 98-nucleotide small RNA is filed under the name Mycobacterium bohemicum. Its description in RNAcentral is "Mycobacterium sRNA Ms_AS-1". It matches the Rfam family "Mycobacterium sRNA Ms_AS-1". The record is from Rfam by way of RNAcentral. Lineage: Bacteria; Bacillati; Actinomycetota; Actinomycetes; Mycobacteriales; Mycobacteriaceae.